UUUCCGUAGGUGAACCUGCGGAAGGAUCAUUAUUGUAUAACCACGGAUCAAGGCCUGGCUCUAACGCGAGUUGUCGUGCACGCGCGAGGACCGUCUAUCACGUCCAUAUCGCCCCUACUCGCGCCACCGCGUCGGCCUCGCGAUGACGUAUUCGGUUCGCGGUUUACGUUUUCACCCAAGCUUGUUAUGGCGUGUAGAAUGUAUUUGUUGUUUUUGCGAACACUCAAUCAAUACAACUUUCAUCAAUGGAUCUCUUGAAGCUCGCAUCUAUGUAGAACU
Molecule: unclassified non-coding RNA, 279 nt
Filed under: plant metagenome
Description: partial contains small subunit ribosomal RNA, internal transcribed spacer 1, and 5.8S ribosomal RNA
Source: RNAcentral